AUAGCGUAUAUUAAAGUUGUUGCAGUUAAAAAGCUCGUAGUUGAACCUUGGGCCUGGCUGCUCGGUCCGCCUAACCGCGUGCACUGAUGCGGCCGGGCCUUUCCUUCUGGCUAACCUCAUGCCCUUUACUGGGUGUGUUGGAGAUCCAGGACUUUUACUUUGAAAAAAUUAGAGUGUUCAAAGCAGGCCUUUGCUCGAAUACAUUAGCAUGGAAUAAUAGAAUAGGACGGCGGUUUUAUUUUGUUGGUUUCUAGAGCCACCGUAAUGAUUAAUAGGGAUAGUCGGGGGCAUCAGUAUUCAAUUGUCAGAGGUGAAAUUCUUGGAUUUAUUGAAGACUAACUACUG
RNAcentral lists this ribosomal RNA (345 nucleotides) under uncultured eukaryote. RNAcentral describes it as "SSU rRNA". It matches the Rfam family "Eukaryotic small subunit ribosomal RNA", at positions 594 to 945 of the family's 1831-position model. The record is from RNAcentral.